CGGCUUUGCAUAUGGUUAUCUGUAUGGAGAAGAAUUAGAUGUCUUUCCUGAGAGCUUUGGAGGUUGGGAAUCAUCUUCUUCUGUUUAUUUUUAUUUUUAACAUUACAUUACAUUCUUCUGAUUCAGUAUCGCAAGAAAGGAUUUUUUCUUUUUUCAAAAACAAAACUUUAAGAAGCCAGAGGCUAGGCUGAGAAUGUUCUGCGCUCGUCCUCACAGCUCUGCUGCCGACACUGCCAACGCUCGAGACAGUCAGCCUGGAACCUCUGGGACAAGGUCUACUCGAGGUCUCACUUGGACAGCGAGUUCUGCCUUGUCAUUGAACAAGGUCCAAAAUACAGACAUUUUUGCUAGGGCCUAGAAAUCGACCAUAAAACUCACUGCAUUGAGGCCUAAUCCAUUCUAUAUUAACAUCCAUGUGAUAAAGUGAAAAUAAUUUUGAGGGUUUUGCUUUCGCCAAAAAAAAAAAAGAAAGAAAGAAAAAAAAAGAAAGGAAGAAAAAGAAAAAAGAAAGGAUUGUUUUCCUUAGCUUUGCUCAAGAAAAAUACAGCUAUCCUAAACUGGAAUCUUCCCGUAUUCUUUAGAGUCUUAAGUAUAGAGUUUAACUUCACUUUUGUCAGCUGUCUUGAGCUUAUUUCUAAGUAGUUUUGUUUUGGCUUUUGGUGAGUGAGGUAGUGGGAGGUUAAUUUUGGGGUCUUUUUUUUUUUUGGCUUUGUUUGUGUGUGUGUGUGUGUGUGUGUGUUUAUGUGUUUGGCUUUUGGGUUUGGUUGGUUAGUUGUUUAGUUUGUUUUUUUGUUGUUGUUUAAUUUGCUUUUUCUAGGCAGGGUUUCUCUAUGUGGCCCUGGCUGUCCUAGAACUUGCUCUGUAGACCAGGCUAGCCUCAAACUCAGAGAUCCACUUGCCUCUGUCUCGAGUGUGCUUGAACUAAAGGCAUGAGCUACCCUCCUCAGCCCACUCCAAACUUUGAGUAAUAUUUUUAAAUCAUAGACAUGUUGGUAUUAGAAACAUGGCGUAUUGUGGUGGAUGGUAGAGAAAGGGCGCCGCAACCUCUCAGGACAUCAUAUGUCUGGCCAGCUCUUCAUUCAUAUAGGUGCUCUCUGGAUAUGUCUUUACAUCAGACUCACACCUCUGAAACCCGGUUUUCACACAAGGAGACUUGCCAUUGGGGUCUUUAGUAGCCCAGGGAAACAUAGAGUAAACUGAAGAGCUUACUGUGUGCCGCUUAUCCUUAGAUGGCCUCAUCCAGUCACAGGUCUUUGUCAGAAUCUAACCAUUGAUUCACUGAGGAGACCCUACUGCCCUGAGGUUCCACUGAAGCAGCUUUUAGUGAGACUAGGGCAAGAAUAUACCGAAUAGCUUCUGUUCAAGGUUUGGUUCCAGAGACUCUACCAUUUACAGGACUGGCUGGAGUUACAACAACCUCUUAAAGAGGGUAGGGCGGGUUCUCCAGUUAGACCCCCUAACCUCACAGGUGAGUAGUCCUAACCUGACAGCCUUAGAAACACAGUUGCCGAGUACCUGAGAGCACCCAGUGGCCCGCCGCCUCCUAUUCAGCCCCUCUUUAAAGACGACAGACGGUUAAGCCAUGGAGAAGCUGUUCAGGUAGCACGGGGCCAUUUCUGCCCCCAGCUUGUCAUGUUUUUUCUCUCAGGACCCACUCUCUGACCAGUAGACUUGAAUUUAGCCCCAAGUGAUUUACUAAACUCAGCUCAGAAGCUCACUUAAAAAUAGGACCUCCACAUGGUCGUGCUAAGUAAAAAUGAAGACCCCAAGUUGCACAGGGUGCUGCUAUCUCAAAGACAAUACUUUCCUUUGAAUAGAAAGCUGUGCCGUCCACCCUGCAAUGGGUGCUAGCCAACUUGCUUGAGAAAGUCAGGAGCAAGCAUUUUGAGUUUUAAAGAAUGUCCUGAACUUGUCUUUUAAGUAAACAUAGCUGCUUUAUUAAAAGCUGUGACUACUAAAGCCAGUCACAGCCAUCGUCACUGUGGGAGUUAAAUCAUGUCAACUUUCAAACAUCACAGUUGUUUCAAUCUUCUGUCCAAAGAACUCCUCUUCUGGAGAAAACCUGAUUUUGGUUUUGGCUUUUUGUCUUGUCUUGUUUUGUUUUUCCUGAGAUGGGGUCUCUCUGUGAAGCCCUGGCUAUCCUGGAACUCAGUGUGUAGACCAGGCUGGCCUUGAACUCAUGUAGAUCUGCCUGCUAAAACUAAAGACAUGCACCACCAUGACAGCUGACUAUUUUUUAUGAUGAGCACAGAAGUGGCUCACAUUUUCUUAAAGCACACUUUUGUCACAUAGUAGAGUCUAGGAAAGAAUAACAUUGAAAAUCCCCAUCCCAGUGUGACACUUGUGUAAGCACAUAUGGAUAGCCAUUGGAAGAAUACAUGCUUGCUUGUAACAUGAAAUUAAAGACAUUGUAUAAUUUCUUAAUCUUUAAAAAUUACCAAAAAAGUGGCAACAGUAUGUUUAAGGUUAUUUUAAUUUUUACAUAAAUUGUUAACC
RNAcentral lists this long non-coding RNA (2496 nucleotides) under Mus musculus (house mouse). RNAcentral's name for it is "long non-coding RNA chr5:3522764-3525260". The record is from RNAcentral. Lineage: Eukaryota; Metazoa; Chordata; Mammalia; Rodentia; Muridae.